CUGGGACAUGGCGUUGGCAA
This 20-nucleotide microRNA is filed under the name Gossypium raimondii (Peruvian cotton). RNAcentral describes it as "gra-miR7506b". The record is from miRBase by way of RNAcentral. Lineage: Eukaryota; Viridiplantae; Streptophyta; Magnoliopsida; Malvales; Malvaceae.